RNAcentral lists this ribosomal RNA (246 nucleotides) under uncultured bacterium. RNAcentral's name for it is "partial 16S ribosomal RNA". It matches the Rfam family "Bacterial small subunit ribosomal RNA", at positions 523 to 769 of the family's 1533-position model. The record is from RNAcentral.
AUACGUAGGGGGCGAGCGUUGUCCGGAUUUACUGGGCGUAAAGGGUGAGCAGGCGGUUGCAUAUGUCAGAUGUAAAAGGCACAGGCUCAACUUGUGUUAGCAUUUGAAACUGUGCGACUUGAGUGCAGGAGAGGUAAGUGGAAUUCCUAGUGUAGCGGUGAAAUGCGUAGAGAUUAGGAAGAACACCAGUGGCGAAGGCGCUUCUCUGGACUGUAACUGACGCUGAGGCUCGAAAGCGUGGGGAGC